GCUCAGGUGGUGGAAUUGGUAUACACGCAUGUUUGAGGGGCAUGUGCCGCAAGGCUUGCGGGUUCGAAUCCCGCCCUGAGCACCA
RNAcentral lists this transfer RNA (85 nucleotides) under Deltaproteobacteria bacterium. RNAcentral describes it as "tRNA-Leu". It matches the Rfam family "tRNA". From Rfam's summary of the family: Transfer RNA (tRNA) molecules are approximately 80 nucleotides in length. Their secondary structure includes four short double-helical elements and three loops (D, anti-codon, and T loops). The record is from RNAcentral. Lineage: Bacteria; Pseudomonadati; Myxococcota; Myxococcia.